RNAcentral lists this transfer RNA (62 nucleotides) under Bragasellus molinai. RNAcentral describes it as "transfert RNA-G(GGA)". Lineage: Eukaryota; Metazoa; Arthropoda; Malacostraca; Isopoda; Asellidae. The record is from RNAcentral.
AUUUAUUUAGUAUAAUUAAGUACAGGAAGUUUCCAUCUUCAAAGCCCUUUAAGAAAUAAAUA